CCUACGGGCGGCAGCAGUGAGGAAUAUUGGUCAAUGGUCGGGAGACUGAACCAGCCAAGCCGCGUGAGGGAGGAAGGUACAGAGUAUCGUAAACCUCUUUUGUCAGGGAACAAAGACUGGGACGCGUCCCCGGAUGAGUGUACCUGAAGAAAAAGCAUCGGCUAACUCCGUGCCAGCAGCCGCGGUAAUACGGAGGAUGCGGGCGUUAUCCGGAUUUAUUGGGUUGAAAGGGUGCGCAGGCGGUCUGUUAAGUCAGCGGGCAAAGCCCGGGGCUCAACCCCCGGCCAGCAGUUGAAACUGGAAGUCUUGAGUUGGAGAGAAGUAGGCGGAAUGCGCGGUGUAGCGGUGAAAUGCAUAGAUAUCGCGCAGAAUUCCGAUUGCGAAGGCAGCAUGCCGGCUCCACACUGACGCUGAGGCACGAAAGCGUGGGUAUCGAACAGGAUUAGAUACCCCAGUAGUC
RNAcentral lists this ribosomal RNA (460 nucleotides) under uncultured bacterium. RNAcentral describes it as "partial 16S ribosomal RNA". It matches the Rfam family "Bacterial small subunit ribosomal RNA", at positions 338 to 795 of the family's 1533-position model. The record is from RNAcentral.